This 891-nucleotide ribosomal RNA is filed under the name uncultured bacterium. Its description in RNAcentral is "bacterial SSU rRNA". It matches the Rfam family "Bacterial small subunit ribosomal RNA", at positions 30 to 895 of the family's 1533-position model. The record is from RNAcentral.
CUAACGCUGGCGGCGUGCCUAACACAUGCAAGUCGUACGAGAAAGUCGGCUUCGGCUGAUGAGUAAAGUAGCGCACGGGUGAGUAACGCGUGGAUAAUCUGCCCCUGAGUUCGGAAUAACGUACCGAAAGGUGCGCUAAUACCGGAUAAUGCUGAGUGACUACUGUCGCUUAGCCAAAGAAGGCCUCUGUUUACAUGCUUUUGCUUUGGGAUGAGUUCGCGUACCAUUAGCUAGUUGGUAGGGUAAUGGCCUACCAAGGCGACGAUGGUUAGCUGGUCUGAGAGGAUGAUCAGCCACACUGGAACUGAGACACGGUCCAGACUCCUACGGGAGGCAGCAGUGAGGAAUAUUGCGCAAUGGGGGCAACCCUGACGCAGCAACGCCGCGUGAGUGAGGAAGGUUUUCGGACCGUAAAGCUCUGUCGAGCGGGAAGAAAUGCAUGGUGGCUAAUAUCCAUCAUGCUUGACGGUACCGCUAAAGGAAGCACCGGCUAACUCCGUGCCAGCAGCCGCGGUAAUACGGGGGGUGCAAGCGUUGUUCGGAAUUAUUGGGCGUAAAGAGCGUGUAGGCGGCUGAAUAAGUCAGAUGUGAAAUCCCUGGGCUUAACCCAGGACGUGCAUUUGAAACUAUUCAGCUUGAGUAAGGGAGAGGAAAGUGGAAAUUCCUGGUGUAGAGGUGAAAUUCGUAGAUAUCAGGGGGAACACCGGUGGCGUAGGCGACUUUCUGGCCCUAUACUGACGCUGAGACGCGAGAGCGUGGGUAGCAAACAGGAUUAGAUACCCUGGUAGUCCACGCUGUAAACGAUGUUCACUAGGUGUUGGGGGUAUUGACCCUCUCAGUGCCGCAGCUAACGCAUUAAGUGAACCGCCUGGGGAGUACGGUCGCAAGAUA